Molecule: ribosomal RNA, 1389 nt
Filed under: Triticum aestivum (bread wheat)
Lineage: Eukaryota; Viridiplantae; Streptophyta; Magnoliopsida; Poales; Poaceae
Description: partial small subunit ribosomal RNA
Source: RNAcentral
AUGGCCACCAGGGUCCUCGACACGCUCGCCGUCGCGGCGGAGGGCGACGGGGGCUGCGGCGCGCUGCCGCUCACCUUCUUCGACGUGCCCUGGAUCUUCACCGGCCCCGUGGAGCGCGUCUUCUUCUACCCGUACCCGCACCCGCCCGAGCGGUUCCGGGCCGCCCUCCUGCCGCGCCUCGUCUCCUCCCUCUCCGCCGCGCUGGGCAGGUUCUACCCGCUCCUCGGCCGCGUCCGGCCCUGCCCGGACGGCGGCGGGUACGAGUUCUUCUUGCCCGCGGGGGGAGGGGGCGGUGGUGGCGCCGUCGAGCUCACCGUCGCCGAGAGCGAGGAUGAUUUCGACGAGCUCUCCGGCGACGGGCCCCGCGACGUCGCCCGGCUCUACUCGCUCGUGCCGCGGCUCCCGGUGGUUGAGGGGGGCGGGGACGGCGGGUUCGCGCUCGCCGCGGUCCAGGUCACCGUGUUCGCCGGGCGCGGGGUCGCCGUCGGCGUGUCGAUACACCACGUCGCCUGCGAUGACUCCAGCUACAUGCAUUUCGUGAAGACCUGGGCCGGCCACUGCCGGUUGGCCGCCGGUGGGGAGGACGCUGGCGCCGCGCUGCCCCCGCCGCCGUUCCUGGACCGCGCGGUCAUCGCGGACCCCCGAGGGCUUGCCGCCAGGACGCUCGACGAAAUGCGGCAGCUGGCGGCCAACGGGCCUCCUCCUCCGCCACCGGCGCCGGUAGGCCCGCCGCCCAAGCUGGUCAUCCGGUCGUUCACAAUCGCCCGCGGCUGCAUCGACAAGCUGAAGCAGCGCGUGGCCGCCGACGCCAAGGACGCGACCACCCACUGCUCCGCGUUCACGGUGGCGUGCGCGUUCGCGUGGGCCUGCCUGGCGCGCUCCGCCUCCGCCGACGCCCCCUCCCCCGCCUCCGACGAGCGCGCGCACCUGCUCUUCUCAGUGGAGUGCCGGCGCCGCCUGUCCCCGCCUGUGCCGCAGGAGUACCUGGGCAACUGCCUGCGGCCCUGCUUCGUGGAGGUCGGCGCGCGCGACCUGCUCGGCGCGGACGGGGUGACCACGGCCGCCGCGGCGAUCGGCGCGGCCAUCCGGGCGCUGGACGGGGACGGCGUGCUGGCGGGCGCCGAGGGGUGGUUCCAGAAGAUCCUGUCGCUGGUGCCGCGGCGGCCCAUGUCCGUGGGCGGCUCGCCGCGGUACGGCGUGUACGACACCGACUUCGGCCUGGGGCGGCCGAGCAAGGUGGAGCUGGUGUCCAUCGACAAGACGCCCGGCACGGUGUCGCUGGCCGAGGGCACCGACGGGCAGCGCGGGAUUGAGGUCGGCGUGGCGCUGCCGGAGGCCGACAUGGCGCGGUUCGCCUCAUGCUUCUCCGACGGCCUGCACCAGCUAUGA